Molecule: ribosomal RNA, 464 nt
Filed under: uncultured Klebsiella sp.
Lineage: Bacteria; Pseudomonadati; Pseudomonadota; Gammaproteobacteria; Enterobacterales; Enterobacteriaceae
Description: bacterial SSU rRNA
Rfam family: Bacterial small subunit ribosomal RNA
Source: RNAcentral
CCUACGGGAGGCUGCAGUGGGGAAUAUUGCACAAUGGGCGCAAGCCUGAUGCAGCCAUGCCGCGUGUGUGAAGAAGGCCCUCGGGUUGUAAAGCACUUUCAGCGGGGAGGAAGGCGUUAAGGUUAAUAACCUUGUCGAUUGACGUUACCCGCAGAAGAAGCACCGGCUAACUCCGUGCCAGCAGCCGCGGUAAUACGGAGGGUGCAAGCGUUAAUCGGAAUUACUGGGCGUAAAGCGCACGCAGGCGGCUGUCAAGUCUGAUGUGAAAUCCCCGGGCUCAACCUGGGAACUGCAUUCGAAACUGGCAGGCUAGAGGCUUGUAGAGGGGGGUAGAAUUCCAGGUGUAGCGGUGAAAUGCGUAGAGAUCUGGAGGAAUACCGGUGGCGAAGGCGGCCCCCCGGACAAAGACUGACGCUCAGGUGCGAAAGCGUGGGGAGCAAACAGGAUUAGAUACCCCGGUAGUC